CCGGCCGGCCCGCGCCAGGCUCCUCGCCGCUACGGCCAUCGCGCUCCGCGGGGCUGGCAAGGCAGGGGCGGGGCUGCGGCCGACGCCCCAGCACGGAUUGGCCCGGCGCGCCCCGCGGGCGAGCGGGAGAACGGAGUUCUAAUGACAGCACAUUUUCCUCAUGUUGAAAAGGCAGCAACACAGUCAAAUCAUUCUGCAAAAAGAACAGGCAGGGCUGGCCCUAGACCAAAUGGCACCACAGUGAAUAUGAGUUUCCUUGAAGACAGGUUAAGUUUUCCGCCCUUUCUUUGGCAGCAGUGACGGCAUCUUCAAAUCCAUUGUCUCUGAAGGCCACAACGAAAUCAAGGCAGCUUCUCAUCAAAGUAGUAGGGGUUUGAUAACUAUUUCUGGCAUCUCAUUAAAUAUGUCCUUUUUCAGUUGUUACUUACACUCUUCAAGACUUAAAACAUAA
Mauremys reevesii (Reeves's turtle) is the source of this 451-nucleotide long non-coding RNA. RefSeq lists it as uncharacterized. Lineage: Eukaryota; Metazoa; Chordata; Testudines; Geoemydidae. The record is from RefSeq and is a predicted model, not a curated record. The transcript is spliced from 3 exons.